UGCGGGGUGGAGCAGUGGUAGCUCGUCGGGCUCAUAACCCGAAGGUCAUAGGUUCAAAUCCUGUCCCCGCUACCA
Molecule: transfer RNA, 75 nt
Filed under: Gammaproteobacteria bacterium
Lineage: Bacteria; Pseudomonadati; Pseudomonadota; Gammaproteobacteria
Description: tRNA-Met
Rfam family: tRNA
About the family: Transfer RNA (tRNA) molecules are approximately 80 nucleotides in length. Their secondary structure includes four short double-helical elements and three loops (D, anti-codon, and T loops). Further hydrogen bonds mediate the characteristic L-shaped molecular structure. tRNAs have two regions of fundamental functional importance: the anti-codon, which is responsible for specific mRNA codon recognition, and the 3' end, to which the tRNAs corresponding amino acid is attached (by aminoacyl-tRNA synthetases). tRNAs cope with the degeneracy of the genetic code in two manners: having more than one tRNA (with a specific anti-codon) for a particular amino acid; and 'wobble' base-pairing, i.e. permitting non-standard base-pairing at the 3rd anti-codon position.
Source: RNAcentral